This 243-nucleotide long non-coding RNA is filed under the name Elaeis guineensis (African oil palm). Its description in RNAcentral is "long non-coding RNA (EGUI_LNC072423)". Lineage: Eukaryota; Viridiplantae; Streptophyta; Magnoliopsida; Arecales; Arecaceae. The record is from RNAcentral.
AGGAAGACCAGCACGAUCUAUGAACGGGGGCACGGAAGCAAGGAAAGUUUUGGGACUAACCCAAGCUGGUCUAAGGGAGGCGGGGCUACAGAGAUGUGGAUGACUCAACGAACAUCUGAGGCCAGGAAGGAAAGAUCGAAGAAACUCAUGUACAAAGUGAGAUCCCCGAAGGGGGGAGGCAAGUUUAAAUAGGCGACAGGGGUCGAUGCAAUAAUGGCUGCAGGACUCCUCAGGCCAGUCCGU